UGCCCUGUAGUAUAAUUAUUACUGUAAACUGCAACUUUACCAAUGCUAAGGCCAGAGCGU
Molecule: transfer RNA, 60 nt
Filed under: Rectidens sumatrensis
Lineage: Eukaryota; Metazoa; Mollusca; Bivalvia; Unionida; Unionidae
Description: tRNA-Cys
Source: RNAcentral